UGGGGAAUAUUGGACAAUGGGCGGAAGCCUGAUCCAGCCAUGCCGCGUGUGUGAAGAAGGUCUUCGGAUUGUAAAGCACUUUAAGUUGGGAGGAAGGGCAUUAACCUAAUACGUUAGUGUUUUGACGUUACCGACAGAAUAAGCACCGGCUAACUCUGUGCCAGCAGCCGCGGUAAUACAGAGGGUGCAAGCGUUAAUCGGAAUUACUGGGCGUAAAGCGCGCGUAGGUGGUUUGUUAAGUUGGAUGUGAAAGCCCCGGGCUCAACCUGGGAACUGCAUUCAAAACUGACAAGCUAGAGUAUGGUAGAGGGUGGUGGAAUUUCCUGUGUAGCGGUGAAAUGCGUAGAUAUAGGAAGGAACACCAGUGGCGAAGGCGACCACCUGGACUGAUACUGACGCUGAGGCGCGAAAGCGUGGGGAGCAAACAGGAUUAGAUACCCAAGUAGUCCCUGAGCGGGCUGGCAAGGCGCAU
This 472-nucleotide ribosomal RNA is filed under the name uncultured bacterium. Its description in RNAcentral is "bacterial SSU rRNA". It matches the Rfam family "Bacterial small subunit ribosomal RNA", at positions 355 to 825 of the family's 1533-position model. The record is from RNAcentral.